UUGACCUCAAUUCAGUUGACUACCCGC
This 27-nucleotide ribosomal RNA is filed under the name Melanoleuca exscissa. Its description in RNAcentral is "partial 28S ribosomal RNA". The record is from RNAcentral. Lineage: Eukaryota; Fungi; Basidiomycota; Agaricomycetes; Agaricales; Pluteaceae.